RNAcentral lists this ribosomal RNA (253 nucleotides) under uncultured bacterium. Its description in RNAcentral is "partial 16S ribosomal RNA". It matches the Rfam family "Bacterial small subunit ribosomal RNA", at positions 524 to 776 of the family's 1533-position model. The record is from RNAcentral.
UACGAAGGGGGCUAGCGUUGCUCGGAAUCACUGGGCGUAAAGGGUGCGUAGGUGGCGCCGUAAGUGGGGUGUGAAAUUUCGGAGCUUAACUCCGAAACUGCAUUCCAUACUGCGGUGCUUGAGGACUGGAGAGGAGACUGGAAUUCAUGGUGUAGCAGUGAAAUGCGUAGAGAUCAUGAGGAAGACCAGUGGCGAAGGCGGGUCUCUGGACAGUUCCUGACACUGAGGCACGAAGGUCAGGGGAGCAAACGGG